RNAcentral lists this non-coding RNA (24 nucleotides) under Cricetulus griseus (Chinese hamster). The record is from RNAcentral. Lineage: Eukaryota; Metazoa; Chordata; Mammalia; Rodentia; Cricetidae.
UGGGCAAGAUAGACUGGAUCAGGC